This 58-nucleotide microRNA precursor is filed under the name Caenorhabditis brenneri. RNAcentral describes it as "microRNA cbn-mir-7632 precursor". Lineage: Eukaryota; Metazoa; Nematoda; Chromadorea; Rhabditida; Rhabditidae. The record is from miRBase by way of RNAcentral.
UUGAUAUUGUCCGGGUAUCGGUCUCCACUCCGGAGACCUACCCCAUCAAUGUCAAACU